AACCCAAAACAACAUGUAUCGGGCCAGCCUUCUCAAACGAAGCACCCGUGGCCUCUUUUCCUCUACUUCAGGCAGGCUGCUUUGGUGGGGAUGCAAGGAAAGUGAUCUUCACCGCCUUGCUCGACAGCGCCCGUGGUGGGAAACGGCUGCCAUUUUUACCGGGCUUCUCGCCUUUGUAAAUGUGACGAGCGCAUUCUUUUAUGCACUGAACCGAUGGUAUCAGCGCUGGCGACCCUCAGGAAAUGAGCUGCACAUUCGCGAUUCGAUCGAUCAGAAGUUGUUUUCAAGGCCUGAUCUAGCCGUCGUUGCCGUGCGAAUGUUGCUGCAUCAUGCACUCAGUAACACACAAACACCAUUCGGAUGCCCUAUUGUGGCACCUGAGAAUUACCGAGAAGAGGCCGAGGAGAUUGCAGACUUCAUUUGGAAACUUAGCACAGAUCAGCCGAUGUACACCUUUCCCGAUUUGUGGGCGAUGUUCACAGCAAAGGCAAUGGCUCGCCUUGGUGGACCCAAUGUAGUGCCGUUUCGCGGUCGCGAUGACCCACCUGAGUUCAUGACACGUGACCUGCUCCUCGCAUUUCCGCGUUCGCUGGUUCACGAGGACGACCGUGAUGUCUUGAACAUGAAGCGUGUUUUAUCGCGUCAAGGAUUUUCAUUGGAGCAAGUUGUUGCCUUGAUAGGGUGCAACCGUUGUAUUGGUUUUCACGACGCUGCGAACUUUCAUACACGUGAGGAGGUGAAGCCAAAGAUGAAGCGGCGCCCGGGGGCGAUUGGGCCUAGUGACGACGAGUUUCACCUGCCUGGAACGAUUCAGAAAACUACGAUGGACCCAUAUGUGUUUGGUUCAGAGUACUUUAAUCUUCUGCUGGAUUACAAGUGGCGUCAGCCAGGUUUGUUUCAGCAGCGAAGGAAGGGCGCGUACAGUUGUAACGCGAAGGAGCGCGCACGCCAAGUAACCUUACUCGAUCCUUUUUCUGAGAAAUCGUACGAGUCGCAGCAACGUAGGAUGGGGCCUGCUGAAAAAGCGCGGGAGAGUAGUAAUGCAACGGACAAACGUAUACCGGCCACUCUUGGAGACGGCGAUAGUGCUCCAGAUCGUGGUCGCUUUGAUCGCAGCGGAGAGGCUCAGUUCAUUCCGGGUGCGCAUAGUGCUAACCGGAGCGAUAGUGCGGAGAGUAGCAAUCGAGAACCGGACAUCGCUGGCGAUCCUGACUACGAAGCUGAGCGUGGGACCGUGUCUGUUGACCCGUGUGAGCAUGUUUCAAUGCGCGGUGUGGACGUUAUGCUUUUGGACGAUGCUCUCACGAAAGGCUGGCUGUAUCAGUUUGGGGAUAACGAGCUUGAGUUCUACGCCGCCGUAUCGGAGGUGAUUUUGAACAUUCAAGGCAGGGGCUACAAUCCGAAUAAGCUUGCAAUGUGGAAGUGAGCAGAUACAAGGCCAUUCAAGUUGAAAAGAGUCACUUUUGUUCGUCAGGCGUGACUGAGCAUUAACCUUUUUCACAUCUGUUUUCUUGUGGGGAUGGAUGACCAUCUGCACAUCUCACAAACAAAAAAAGGUGAGGCUCACGUAGAGCGGUGGCUCGCACUACUGAAUAAUUCCUGGGAAAAGUUCCGGUAUGUUUUCCCGCACCGGAUAACUCGAUGCAUUGCUGCAGCACUCAACGCGGCUGAGGAAGGGGUCUUUCAUGCUCGUUGCGCCACCUCUGCAACGGCCAUUUUCCAUAUAUCCUCCGCAGCUUGCUUGGUUUUUACUUCACAUUGAUGCCUUUAUCUUGAGCGCUCUAUCUUCCUUCCCUUGCAUCGCGUUUUUUUUUUGGUGCCCCUGGUUUAUAUAUAUAUAUAUAUACAUUGGUUGAUUGCCAAG
This 1864-nucleotide unclassified non-coding RNA is filed under the name Leishmania donovani. Its description in RNAcentral is "gene:LdHU3.35.4590(CDS-product:Peroxidase_putativ e)". The record is from RNAcentral. Lineage: Eukaryota; Euglenozoa; Kinetoplastea; Trypanosomatida; Trypanosomatidae.